UUUUAUGUCUCACAGAUCACAUGCUGUUGCAGGUGGAACCACUCCCUGUCAAUAGUGUCUCCAUGCAAAUCUCCUGCCUGCUCUUAUAAUCCAUGAGCAGCAUCAGAGUCACAUCUCCAGCCUCAGGAUGAAGAACACACUCACUCUGCUGCUGGCUGCUCUCUCUCUGACCUGUUGUUCAGGUCAGAGCAUGGAGUCCAUUCCUUCCACUGCAGUAGUGAAGAAGCCUGGAGAGACCCUCAGUCUGUCCUGCAGAGGAUCUGGGUUCACAUUUAACUGCUGUUAUAUGCACUGGGUCAGACAACCUGCAGGAAAAGGACUGGAAUGGAUGGGGAGAGGUGGCUCUAAUACUAAUGAUAACGUCUAUGCCAACAAUUUGAGAGGACGGAUAGAAAUCAGCAGAGAUGACAGCAACAGCUUGGUGCAUCUGAAACUGUCCAACCUGCAGCCUGAAGACUCUGCUGUUUAUUACUGUGCUAAAGACUCACAGUGACACAAAGCAUCAGUGGAGCUGAACAAAAACCCCUCAGAGCCAAACAUUAGUAACAUGGAUCCACCAGAGGAGGAGCCUCAGACCAGGAAUGAGUUAAAGACAAGUUCAAUAUGAACAUUGUUCAU
This is a non-coding RNA of Betta splendens (Siamese fighting fish), 618 nucleotides long. The record is from the annotation of a RefSeq genome assembly. Lineage: Eukaryota; Metazoa; Chordata; Actinopteri; Anabantiformes; Osphronemidae.